CCUGCCAUUGGUGCCCCACCUCACCUCUCUCGCCUCGGCCCGGAGCCCCCGCCGCCAGUGCCCUGCUCGUUGCCGCCCCCGUCCCCGCCAACCCCUGGUGUCGCCGCCGCCCUGGCAAUCCCAGGCCCCACCGGCCUCCUGCUGUGGCGCUGCCGCCGUGACGCGAUGCCGGCCUCCUCCCGCGACGCCGGCGGCAGCCCCUGCCACCACGUGCAGCCGCGGCCCCUCUCCGCCGCCGCCGCCGCCGCUGCCCCAACACCGGUGAUGCCCACAUCUCCUCUUCCAACUCCGGUACAACUUAUUCCCUUACCUCAAGGUCCUCCCCAAAAUGGAGAUCCCCGUCCCUGCUCCCCAACCUGGCCCCUCUUCUUCCGCCGCCAUCGCCUCCACAUCACAGCUCCGGCAUGCAGCUCCGAGUGCCUCUGUCUCUGCUGGGUCUAAUUGCCUCCGCCCGACGUCGGGCUCUAUAGAAAACCCCAGUAUAUCACAUUUGUUUGUCGUUAUGGUCUAAAAAUGGCAUUUUUGCAGGUCAACUUCGCCUGAUGCGUCAGUUCAAUUUCAUAGUGCAUGAUAGGCAUGAUCCAGUAACCAUGGCAUUCCAUCCCCACAGGCCGACGCUGGCCGUCAACCCAACUACAGCUGUCCCCGGCCACCACACAAGCACUGUUAGGAAUAAGCCACACGGUGGCUGUGGUGGCGAGUGUGCGUGUUGGUGGAACUGGGCAUCAGCCGUGUCGAGUCUAUAGGUGUGCGUUGUGUACGUAGUUUGAGUUAGACUCCAGUUUGUUAUUGCAUGCAAGAUUGGUCAAGUCGUGGAGUUAGUUAGUGGCCGUGAGAAAUGGCCCUAGAGUUAGCCCAUGCAUUAGUUUGUUACUAGACUACCUGUGCAUGGUGGGCGUGGCGUGAGUUUAGGAUUAGUUGGUAAUGGUGAUACUCUUGUAAUGCCUAUUUAAGUUGAGUACGUGAAUGAAAGCUAGGUGUGGGCUGAGAAAA
Molecule: long non-coding RNA, 993 nt
Organism: Aegilops tauschii subsp. strangulata
Lineage: Eukaryota; Viridiplantae; Streptophyta; Magnoliopsida; Poales; Poaceae
Source: RefSeq, a predicted model, not a curated record